RNAcentral lists this long non-coding RNA (707 nucleotides) under Homo sapiens (human). Its description in RNAcentral is "HSALNT0049094". Lineage: Eukaryota; Metazoa; Chordata; Mammalia; Primates; Hominidae. The record is from RNAcentral.
GGGUGGAGUAAAACCAGGAGGGCCUGGGCUUUCCCUGGAGUCGCUGGGCUUUUCCGGAAGGAUUGUGAAGUGAGGAAGGCCUUAGGAAAGACCAGCGAAGAAAGAGGGUGUCAGUGAGUGGGCGAGUGGUGACGGAGGGGAGGGAGAAGGGGAGAUGGAAGCAAAGGAAGAAAAGUAGCAGAGAGGAAGGAGGAGACCCAGGGAAGAGCAAUGCUACAGGAGACAAGCGUGUGGAGGGUUUUCUAAAAGGAGCUGACGAAACCUAGCGGCUGAGAUUCUGGAAAUAAUGACGGAACGUUUCGUCUGGAACUGGCUAUAGAGUUUCACUCUUAUUGCCCAGGCUGGAGUACAGUGGCACAAUCUUGGCUCACUGCAACUUCUGCCUCCUGGGUUCAAGCAAUUCUCCUGCCUUAGCCUCCCGAGUAGCUGGGAUUACAGGCACCUGCCACCACCCCUGGCUAAUUUUUCACUGCGCAGGGCCAAGGAAAGUACCUGGACCAUGUGUGUUGAAGAAAUGAAGAUGGAGGUGGCACUGGAGUUCUUUAGCAAUGCUAGAGGCACAGGACCUGGGAGCCAGGAUUUACAGGCUGGGUAGCACUCACACCCUUGACUGCAGCUCAGAAUCAGCUGGGGUGCUUUUGAGAGAAAUGAUUCCUAGGCUCCAGCUCAUACCACUUAUGGGUCUAGAAAUCUGUACAGAUGCUCCU